GCCAGCAGCUAACUUUUUGCACCUCUCACAUGGUUGCCCACUGAAGCUAAGCAGGGCAUUACCCGGUCAGUACCUGGAUGGGAGACCACAAGAGAAAGCUAGGUUGCUGCCGGAA
Ribosomal RNA from Danio rerio (zebrafish), 115 nucleotides. The record is from Ensembl. NCBI's taxonomy places the organism in Eukaryota, Metazoa, Chordata, Actinopteri, Cypriniformes, Danionidae.